Phragmites australis (common reed) is the source of this 1184-nucleotide RNA transcript. It is a transcript of the gene named stress-response A/B barrel domain-containing protein UP3-like, with no coding region annotated. Lineage: Eukaryota; Viridiplantae; Streptophyta; Magnoliopsida; Poales; Poaceae. The record is from RefSeq and is a predicted model, not a curated record. The transcript is spliced from 3 exons.
UUAGAGAAUCUCAGUCGUCACCGUCUCGCCGGCGCUCUCAAUUUUUAACCUCCUCUUGUCGCACUGGCCCAGCCAUGAUUUGCCUCAAAGCCCUCUCAUCCCCUCUCCACCUCCCGACGCUCCGCCGCCUCAACCCCUCCUCCUCCGCCCUCCGCGUCGCCGCCAUGUCCUCCGCCGCCGCGUCCCCCGCCAUCGCGGACCCGAUCGAGCACAUCGUGCUCAUCAAGGUCCGUCCGGAGGCCGCGGCCUCGGGCGCCGACGCGGCGAUGGUCUCCUCGCUGCAGGCGCUCUCCACGCUAGUCCCUGGCCUGGCCUACAUCCACGCGGGCCCCGUGCUGCGGCUCCGCUCCCCCGCCGCGGAGGCGCUGGGCCCGACCCACCUCCUCCACUCCCGCUACGCCACCAAGCAGGACCUUGCGUCCUACGCGGUGCACCCAGCCCACGUCGCCGCCGUGCAGGGGCACGUGCUGCCCAGCGCGCUCGACGCCACCGCCGUCGACUGGGUCAACGCGGCGCCGCUCCCGUCCCCCGUGUCCCCCGGCGCCGCCGUGCGGCUCACGCUCGCCAAGGUCAAGGAAGGGGUGGAGGUCGGGAAGCUCGUGGAGGAGGUGGGCACGGCGACGAAGGCGGCAGGGGAGGCCAGGGGCGCCAAGGUGAGCUUCGGGGAGAACUUCUCCCCCGCGCGGGCCAAGGGGUACCAAUUCGGGAUGGUGGCGGUGUUCAACAGCGUGGAGGAGCUGGACGCGGUGGAGGGGGACGGGAAGGUCGAGGAGGCCAAGGCAGCGGUCAGGCCGCUGCUCGACGAGGUGAUGGUGCUGGACUUCGUUGUCGGGCCUCCUGCGUAGGCUCAGGCGCCGGCGAGCCUCUGAGAAGCUUCAGUGAUCGUUGAACCGGAGAGUAGUGGGUUAUCGUGAGGAUGUUUUGUGGUUGAUCUUGAUUAGAAGAAGAGCAGCAAGGUUGGCAGGCGAGGAAAUGUUAGCUUCUGGCUACUUCAUGUCUAUCGGUGGUGGUGGCGGGCAAGAGUAGUGUCGUCUACUCGUGUGGCGAGGUUUGGGUAGAGCCUAAGGGUAUAUGGCUCCACCGAUCUCUUUGUUAUUGUUAAGUUUUAAUUCUUCCGCAGCGUAGUUUUAUCUAUUUUGAUGUAAAUUGUUAUAAAUGGUUGGAUGCUUUUUAUUAAGUUUGAU